Long non-coding RNA from Oncorhynchus tshawytscha (Chinook salmon), 1771 nucleotides. The record is from Ensembl. Lineage: Eukaryota; Metazoa; Chordata; Actinopteri; Salmoniformes; Salmonidae.
AGAACCAAUGGGUGUGCCUGAGUCUCAUCACCUCUCAACCAGGGAAGCUGUUUCAACCUGGAACACUAUUAUCCUGCGUUGGUCUUUCAGUCAUUGCAGGAAGUCCUGAAGAUCAGCAGUUGUCCCGAUCCUGCCCAAACACCUGACUUAAACAAUCAACAUAACGAAUCACAGCGAUAGGCUAUGAUUUGUAAUCCGGUAUGAGCUGGAACGAAAGCUUGUACACACUCCUGCCAUUCAGAUCUGGAGCUAUCCACCCUGUUCCCAGCAUGCAGGACCCAUUGAUUACAGGGUAUUGAUUAGCUAAACAAGCAAGUCUGUUUGUUUUGUUACCAAGGCAACUACUGUAGCUGUCUAGCAAAAUUGCUAGCUACUUCAGUGUAUUUUGAACACAUUUCUAGCGGUAAAUGUGUUAAAUUAUAGCCGUGGUAUAAAUAGUGCGUUGUGAAACACAUCUACCAUGUUGUUGAUUAUUUUCCAUAGAACGCACAGCCCCUCGUUGAUUAUCCCUUACAUAAUGCAUGUGCCAAUCUCAAGUUGAAGUUGAACUUGUUGACUGAUGCCCAGGCGGUGGCUGCUAAGAAGAAGAAAUGAAUAGCUGCUGACCAGAAGACUGCAGUGAAGGGAGCACUGGUCCACACCUGCCCUGUCUGUCAGCCUCAAUUUAUCAGGACAUGGACUCUACAAGGUGUCAGAACAGCCUCAAUUCAUCAGGACAUGGACUCUACAAGGUGUCAGAACAGCCUCAAUUCAUCAGGACAUGGACUCUACAAGGUGUCAGAACAGCCUCAAUUCAUCAGGACAUGGACUCUACAAGGUGUCAGAAUAGCCUCAAUUCAUCAGGACAUGGACUCUACAUGGUGUCAGAACAGCCUCAAUUCAUCAGGACAUGGACUCUACAAGGUGUCAGAACAGCCUCAAUUCAUCAGGACAUGGACUCUACAAGGUGUCAGAACAGCCUCAAUUCAUCAGGACAUGGACUCUACAAGGUGUCAGAACAGCCUCAAUUCAUCAGGGUAUGGACUCUACAAGGUGUUGAAAGCGUUCCACAGGGAUGCUGGCUCAUGUUGACUCCAAUGCUCCCCACAUUUGUGUCAAGUUGGCUGAAUGUCUUUUGGGUGGUGGACCAUUCUUGAUACAUGCAUGAAAAACCCAGCAGCGUUGCAGUUCUUGACACAAACCAGUACACCUGGCACCUACUAUCAAGCCAAGUUGAAAGGUGCUUCAAUCUUUUGUCUUGCCCAUUCACACUCUGAAUUGCACACAUACUGUACACAAUCCAUGUCUCAAUUGUCUCAGGGCUUAAAAAUCCUUCUUUAACAUGUCUCCUCCCCUUCAUUGAAGUGGAUUUUACAGGUGAUAUCAAUAAGGGAUCAUUGCUUUCACCUGGUCAGUCUAUGUCAUGGAAAGAGCAGGUGUUCUUAAUGUUUUGUCUACCCAGUGUAUGUUAUGUAUAAAAGUCAUAUGUGUGCAUUGUUUAGUAUUUUGAUUUCUUUAAAACAAUGUCAUUGUUGGAGUUCAGAUGUUUGACGUGAUUGUUGGGUGACUAGGUGGGUUCUUAUCAAAUAAAUAUGCCUAAUUCAUUCUGCAAAGGGUUAAUCUGGUUUGACAGAACAUGUCAACAAGUUAGUUCUGAAUUGCUUUAAAUACAGCAGUGCAUUCUGACACCAUGAAUUGAAAUAGAAUUCACCUCGUUCAUAUAGUUGGCAGAAAUGACAAGGGAUUAAAUAUAGACCACUGGCGGAAGGAGGAGAGGAUCUGGUCAAAUAAG